UACAGAGGGGGCAAGCGUUGUUCGGAAUUACUGGGCGUAAAGGGCGCGUAGGCGGCCUGCUAAGUCGAACGUGAAAUCCCUGGGCUCAACCCAGGAACUGCGUCCGAUACUGGUUGGCUUGAAUCCGGGAGAGGGAUGUGGAAUUCCAGGUGUAGCGGUGAAAUGCGUAGAUAUCUGGAGGAACACCGGUGGCGAAGGCGGCAUCCUGGACCGAGAUUGACGCUGAGGCGCGAAAGCCAGGGGAGCAAACGGG
RNAcentral lists this ribosomal RNA (253 nucleotides) under uncultured bacterium. RNAcentral describes it as "partial 16S ribosomal RNA". It matches the Rfam family "Bacterial small subunit ribosomal RNA", at positions 524 to 776 of the family's 1533-position model. The record is from RNAcentral.